UGUUUGGCGCAAUGGUAGCGCGUAGACCUCCUAAGUCUAAGGCUGUGGGUUCGAGGUACGGUUUAGCACAAUGACAG
This 77-nucleotide transfer RNA is filed under the name Drepanopeziza brunnea f. sp. 'multigermtubi' MB_m1. RNAcentral describes it as "tRNA-Arg (CCT) (tRNA-Arg-CCT-1-1)". The record is from RNAcentral. Lineage: Eukaryota; Fungi; Ascomycota; Leotiomycetes; Helotiales; Drepanopezizaceae.